ACUAGUACAGUAUAGGUGAGUAAAGGGGAGUAAAGGGUAGUAUAGGAUUGUAUAGGAUAGUAUAUUGUGUAUAAGCUAGUGUAUAUUAGUAUAGUAUAGGUGAGUACAGGGGAGUAAAGGGUAGUAUAAGAUUGUAUAGGAUAGUAUAUUGUGUAUAAGCUAGUGUAUAUUAGUAUAGUAUAGGUGAGUACAGGGGAGUAAAGGGUAGUAUAGGAUUGUAUAGGAUAGUAUAUUGUGUAUAAGCUAGUGUAGACUAGUAUAGUAUAGGUGAGUAAAGGGGAGUAAAGGGUAGUAUAGGAUUGUAUAGGAUAGUAUAUUGUGUAUAAGCUAGUGUAGACUAGUAUAGUAUAGGUGAGUACAGGGGAGUAAAGGGUAGUAUAGGAUUGUAUAGGAUAGUAUAUUGUGUAUAAGCUAGUGUAGACUAGUAUAGUAUAGGUGAGUAAAGGGGAGUAAAGGGUAGUAUAGGAUUGUAUAGGAUAGUAUAUUGUGUAUAAGCUAGUGUAGACUAGUAUAGUAUAGGUAAGUACAGGGGAGUAAAGGGUAGUAUAGGAUUGUAUAGGAUAGUAUAUUGUGUAUAAGCUAGUGU
This is a long non-coding RNA of Astyanax mexicanus (Mexican tetra), 586 nucleotides long. RefSeq lists it as uncharacterized. The record is from RefSeq and is a predicted model, not a curated record. The transcript is spliced from 3 exons. NCBI's taxonomy places the organism in Eukaryota, Metazoa, Chordata, Actinopteri, Characiformes, Acestrorhamphidae.